This 451-nucleotide ribosomal RNA is filed under the name uncultured bacterium. RNAcentral describes it as "partial 16S ribosomal RNA". It matches the Rfam family "Bacterial small subunit ribosomal RNA", at positions 28 to 507 of the family's 1533-position model. The record is from RNAcentral.
GAUGAAUGCUGGCGGCGUGCCUAACACAUGCAAGUCGAGCGGCAGCGCGGGGUGCUUGCACCCUGUCGGCGAGCGGCGAACGGCUGAGUAACGCGUAGGAAUUUGCCCCAAAGUGAGGAAUAACUGCCCGAAAGGGUAGCUAAUGCCGCAUAUGGUCUUCGGAUUAAAGGAUUUAUCCGCUUUGGGAGAAGCCUGCGUUGGAUUAGGUUGUUGGUAGGGUAAUGGCCUACCAAGCCGACGAUCCAUAGCUGGUCUGAGUGGAUGAUCAGCCAGACUGGAACUGAGACACGGUCCAGACUCCUACGGGAGGCAGCAGUGAGGAAUCUUCCACAAUGGGCGAAAGCCUGAUGGAGCAACGCCGCGUGAAGGAUGAAGGCCUUCGGGUUGUAAACUUCUUUUAUGAGUGAAGAAUAUGACGGUAACUCAUGAAUAAGCACCGGCUAACUACGUG